This 570-nucleotide ribosomal RNA is filed under the name Triticum aestivum (bread wheat). RNAcentral describes it as "partial small subunit ribosomal RNA". The record is from RNAcentral. Lineage: Eukaryota; Viridiplantae; Streptophyta; Magnoliopsida; Poales; Poaceae.
AUGCUACUGCUAGGCUUUUCCCUAAUAGUGUGUGAUGUCCAUGGUGAAGACCAAGGUUGUGAAGGAGGGCUCAUGGACGAUGCCUUUAAAUUCAUUAUCAAGAAUGGCGGUCUCACCACCGAAUCACACUACCCAUAUACCGCUAUAGAAGACAAGUGCAAGGGUGGAACCAAUGGUGUUGCAACCAUCAAAAGCUAUGAGGAUGUUCCAGCCGACAACGAGGGAGCCCUCAUGCAAGCCAUCGCAAGUCAACCUAUCUCGGUAGCUGUAGAUGGAGGAGAUAUGAUGUUCCAGUUUUACAAAGGUGGAGUAAUGACUGGCUCAUGUGGCACUGAUCUAGAUCGUGGUAUUGCAGCUAUUGGUUAUGGCAAGACUAGCGAUGGCACAAAGUAUUGGUUUUUGAAGAAUUCAUGGGGAACAACAUGGGGCGAGAACGGAUAUUUUAGAAUUUAAAAGGAUAUUACAGACAAGAGAGGCGUGGGUGGCCUUGCGAUGGAGCCUUCUUAGCCCCACUGCAUAGAGAGAGUGUCCUAUGCCACAUAUCCUACUAUGCACACAAAUAUCAAAUAA